UGGAACCCACAAAACCAAAUGCUGGGUCGUCGGGAGGCCGAUGAUGACAAAGUAUAAUUUCGUUCCUCUUUCUGUCUGGUCUCUACGAUCACUAUCCCCCGGAGAAGGCAAUGGAGGCCACAUCUCAAUUUGUUAAAGGAGAAGAAAAGAAUACCCAACAGAAGUUGAAUUGAAACUUUGACUAGCGGGUCCAUUUGUAUGGCACACGUGAUUAUGAACAAGCCAUCAAAAUUGGGUCUGCCAUCAGAAGCUGCAAUAUUAAUCCCAUCGUUGUAGCAUAUGUGGAUCCAACUGCUCUGUGUGGAGAAUAGCAACGGAGGUAUACUUUCUUUGUUGAUGACUAAGAGUCGCGAAAACAAGUUAUUUUACAUGCCAUUGCAAUGAAAACUCAAUUGCUGAAGUGUUAAUUGUUGAACAGGUGAUAUUGCAGUGGAGUUCAUUAUCAACCAUGCUGAAGUCUCAAUUGUAUUCGUUCAUGAGAACAACAUCAGGCUCUAUAUUCAUCCUUAUCAUUUAUUCCUAUCUACUUGAGUUUGAUCACCACAAGGUUUCUGUUUCUUCUCGCCAAAUUGGAAAAUAUUUAUGGAUAUUCUUUAUUCCUGAGAGAUAACCUAAACCAAGCUACUUAUGUCUUAACUCCUUGUUCUCAUGAAACGGUUUGAAAUUCGUGCAGCUCUCCAUGUGAUUAGUAACAAUAUUCUGGUUAGCUUUGAUUCAAUCCUUUUUGUUGGUGAAUUUUGAUUUCCAAACUAGUCUUGGUGAUAAUGAGAUUACAUAUACUUUGCUCUUCUCAAGUCCAACAUUGACACAGUAGGGAUGCAUACUUUAGAAGUGCUUGGGCAAGUAACAAGGGAUCUUCCUCAAAUUUACAAGGAAAGAUUAUCCUUGUCUUUGUUAAUAUAUUUAGGAAUGACACUUUUUAGAUGUAAUUUUUAUUUUACCUUUCAGAUCCAAGGGAUUUUGGUUGCAAAGUAAAGUAAAAUUUAAUAAUCAAAUUUGGAAUGAUUUGGAGUUAGUGAUACAACCAUGUUUGCUAAUGCUUACAAAAGUUUCUUUUUAGGUUUCAAAAUUUUCGCUUCCCUUCCCUUUAUUCCCUUGCAUUCAGAUGGAAAGGUGGGUUCUAUCAGUUUCCUUUGCACUAAGAAUAAUGUAGUAUAUAGAAUUGAGCUUCUCUUGUUACAUUUAUGUGUGUUAUGUUGCUUGCUACGUAAAAGAGCAGCAUAUACCUUAUGUAUUCAUUUGAUGUUUGUCCUCUCUCUCUCUUUCUCUCUCUCUCUCUCUCUCUCUCUCUCUCUCUAACACACACACACACACACACACAUACAUGCAGAGAUGCAACCACCAAGACUCGGACACAGAUGAGCACACACAAGUUAUCUGUUUCCUUGUUACGGUCUAGCUUCUAAGAUCCAAUGCAUUAUACAUUGAAGAGUAAAUUAUAGAUUAUAGUUAACUUAUUAUGUUUUUCCUCUAUCUAUGUUAUCGUUUGUUUUACUAAAAUUAGUUCUUUCAAUACUUGAAAAUUCAUGAUCUCAGAUGAAAUGAAAAAUAUUCACUAGGUGAUGGAGAGUAACUGUUUGUGCAUGCAAAGGAUCCUCCAAAACAAAAGGUGAAGGAAGAGAAAAAAAAAAAAAAAAAAGGAUGAGAAUGAGAAAAGAAAGAUGAGGGUAAAAGAUGGGAAGAGAGUAAGGGGCAAGAGGCACAGCCCAACAAGUCAGGAUAGUCAUAGCUAGGUGGGUUGGCUACAUAAAUCCUUGCCCUCCAAUAGGCUCUUUCCGAGGUCAUACUUGGGACAAGAACGAGACUAAGCAUGUCAUUCCUCACCACUUCGCCUAUGGUCAUUUUAGGUCUAUCCCUAGCUCUUUUAACUCCUUCAAUCUGAAUCCGAUCACUCCUCUUUAUUGGGGCAUCCUCAGGUUUCCAUUGAACAUGGCCAUACCACCUUAAUUGACUUUCACGGAGCUUGUCGUUGAUCGUGGCAACUCCCAAAUCUGCUCUAAUAUGCUCAUUCCUUAAUUUAUUUUUCCUGGUUUUGCUGUACAUUUAUCUUACAAUAAAGGGGUAAAAUAACUAACUCUGGACUUUUUAAUUACAAUAUGUUCUAUCUCUUAGAGUCCUUCGAACUGACACGGAUUCUCAGAUCCCAGAAGCAAAAAGUUUGUGUUUUUUCUGAAGUUUCAGUGUUCUCUGUUUAAUUAAAGUAGACAUUUACUAAUUACACUCUGUUCUCAAUAUUUUAAUUGAUUUUUGUGGUUUGUCUAGUAAAUUAAGGACAUGCACCUUUUUGUAAAUGAACAAAUCAUUAUUAUUAUCUUUCACAUGUACACAUCAGCAUGUAUAUCACAGUUUGCUCAUCUCAUGUAGGUCAUGGAAUUUUUUUCGAAAAUGAAACCUAUAAGAUAGGAUUCAUACACUGUUUGUUGAACUGGAAAUCCUAUAUUGGUGGUCAUUGGGGCUACAUCGUCAAUGGAUAGCAGCAUGUAAUUCCAAGCUAGGUAACAAGGACAUGGACAAAGGUGCUCCAUGUCCACCACAGCAUGUUCUACAUAAAUUGUGUAGGCUUUAUUCAUAAUUCAUGUCAGUGUCAGACACUGUAGAAAUUUUUAGGUCAAUUUAUUGUUAUAAAUAUUCCAGUUUAGUGUAUAGCCAUGCAUACCCCAGGAGCAAUCAUAUGCUGCGUUUGUCGAGAACUGAACAAUCCUACAUUCAACAAUUGUGCUGAACCUGCUUAUGGCUAGCUUCAGGGCUUAAAAGCAUCUCUUCCUUUCAGCAAAAAAUUAUUUAUGGGUGGGGAUUGGAUUGAUAUGGCCGACCCCAUGUAGUUGGGGUAAGGCUGAGUAGUUGUUCUUGCUGAGUGGAUUGAUAUACAAGAGUGGAGAAGAUAUUUUGUGGUUAUAUAAAAGUAAUAGAUUGACACUUUUGAUCUUGCAUUCUAGUAAGUUUUUUGGGUUCUUUCCUUCCCUUAGUGAAGCUCUCUCUUUCCCAAAUAGGGAAAUGCCUUCCCAGACUCCCAGUGAAUGACAAGUGAGGUUUUCUCUUUCUCAAGCAAAGAAAUGCCUGCUCUGUGAAUGACAAGUUACUACAACAAACCUUCAAUACUUGUUGUGGUUGUUUCGGUUUGAAAAUUUAGUUGUUCUUGAUAUAGUUAGACAUCACAUAAGAGUAGACUUACAACUGUAAUGGGAGUGAUCGCCUCCCUUUUUAAGGGGUAUUUAUGAGUUUGUUUUGGUCCAGCUGCUUUCAACAUGGGAAGUGGACGAGAUAAUGGCUGGUUAUGGUAUAUUUAAUUUUUGAUAUAGACUCAAUCGAUUAUCCAUCUGGUAACCAAGGGUUAGUUGCAUUGAUUGUGGCAGUUACCUCAUAUUAGCAGUAGCAGAAACCUAGAAUGAAAUUAAGUUAGAAUUCUUUCCACUUACGGUGACAGAAGAAGACAAACUUUUUUGUUCCUCCCACUGGCCCAUAUAUAUGAUCAGAUAUCGAAACUUGUUGCAUCUACAGGGUUUCUUUCAUAGGAUUUUGGUGAGGGGUAUGUUUUUUACUCACUUCCAGUUUGAUUUAACUCUUUCUGCUUUCUGUUUUUUGCAGCCGAUUUAGAGUCAAGACUUUUAAAUUUUAUAUAUUCUUGUAUUUCAUUUAUAGCAUGUUAGGUACUUGUUUGAAGACAUUCAAGAAUUGAAGCCAACAAUAUUCUAGGGGUACCUCAAAUCUUUGGCCAUCGAUACACAGGUUUGAAUCUUAUUAGUGAGCUUUACCUUGUUUGAUUUCUUUUGUUCUAAGAAUUGCCUCUGCAAUUCUCAUAUGAAGGUAUAAUUGAUAAUGUUUCAUUUGAAGGAGCACUAAAGAAGGGAUUAUUCCAACAGGAUUAUAGCUAGUAUCUUGGAUUUUAAUUUCGUUUGUAGUUGCUGAUAUAGUCUGUUCAUUUUUCCUAUUUCCUCCCUUCUAAUCUAACAAUUUUGUAACAGCAAGUUGAGAAUUUUGAAGAAUGGACUAGAACAAUAUGAAACAGCCCCUCUCUGACAUAGUCUAUAUCCCUAUUUUCUCCUUUUUGCCUUCAAGGAGAUGUGAUGGGGACAUCCACACGUAUCAACGACCUAGACGCAAGACCCAGCCACUCUUGCAUUCUAUUUGGCUGGAAGAUAGUCUCACAGAAGGAAACUAGAAGAAAGAAGAAGGAAGAAAAGAGAAAGAAGGCUGCUGGUCGACCUCUACCAUGAGAAUGAGGAAAGAGACUAUCGAUGGUCUCUUUCUCUCUCUCUCCUAUCGUCCAGAUCUUGUGGACCCCGCUGUUGAUUUGUUAUUUACUAGUUUUAUUUCCUAGUAUCUUGUUUAUUUAUGUCUUUGAAUUAAGUAGGAAACUACUUUAUUUCCUAUUUGUUUUUGGAAACUUCUUUAUCAUCUAGGAUUAACCUUUUCUUUUUUAGUAAUUAUUUCACUAUUUAUGUGAGGCCAUUGACCAUGAUGGAAUGAACGAAAUUGUUGAAAGAAAAAAGGCAAAGCCAACUCCCCCCUCUCCCUCUCACGAUCUCCUUUCAUUCUCGGUCUCUCUCCCUUUCUCGCCAUCUCUCUCUCUGUCUCGAUUUUCUCUUCCUUUUCUUGCCUGCUCCCUCCAUCACGACUCUCUUUCUCUCUCUCUUUCAUCCCUUAUCUCUCGGUUAUUGUUGUUGGCUGCACCUGCUGUUCGUGGGCUGCUGAAAGUCCCAACACACACACACAAGCUCCAUCGGCAACAAUAAAGGACACUUCUCUGCAGGCUGGAUUUUCUUCAUCAAUUAAAGUGGACUGCAUCUCUUUAUUUUAGGAGGACCUUGGUCUCUUCUAUUCUCCUUAGAUUUGGAUAGCAAUAAGGUAGGUAAAUCCCCCCGCCAUUCCACCUCCAUUGACUCCUUAUUAUUUCCCCAUUAUUCCCCCCACUGAAAUCUGAAAUUAUUCUCUGUUUUCAUGCCAUUUAUAUUUUUCUGUUUUCCUUUAAAAAGACUCUGCUGCUUUACCUUACUAGCUGGCUGAUUUUGGAGAACUGUAUGGUCUGCUUAUUAUGCUUGGUGUCUUGACUGAUUUGUGUUAAACCUAACAUAUGCAUGCUGCCAUGUACCUUUUCCCUAUAUCCCCAUUUGACGCUUAAGUAGCUUAUGUGCUUUUCAUGUUUAAACUAUUAUUGAUUGCUGCUGCCCUGUUAAUUAUUCUAUUAUCUUGCAUACUAAAUCUGUACUUUUGCUGAGCAACUUUGAACCCAACCCAAUUCAAGACCUAUUGAGUAUUCCUUACUCUAGUGGAUUGACCCUUGUAGGAAACCUAGUUGUCUAGACACCCUCCCUACAUCAAGAUGUAUUCUCCAGAUUUGGGUAUAUGGGAACCAUUUUCGAGUCCUUUCUUGUGGCUGUAGUGGUCCUUGAAAGAAAGGCAGUUAAAGGAUUGGGCAGCAAUCCACCAUGAGAUUGGAGAUUUCAAAUCAUUGUGCAAAAACCCAGUGACAGCAAACCAUGUUUGCCAUGUGGCAAUGAAGCACGACCUUGGGACAAGUGUAAUUUCGACACUUAAUGUUUAGCACGUAAUCCUAUAGUACAUGGUAAGUUUCCCAGCUAGGCACCAUAAAUCUGUCUAUAGCUUAGGCUUAGGAAGUGAGAUUUCCAUGAGCCCAAGUGUACGGUGGUAGGACAUAAUUGCUAUCAUUGUCUCUGUUUUAUGCUUCUAAUCAUGUUUAUACUGACAUAAAAUAAAAUAAACCUUCUUCUUUUUUAUUCAUUUUUCUUAUUUCUCUUCUUUUCUAGGAACUCUUUGGAUUACAUCAGAGGACUCUUUUGCUUUCUGAAUGGUAUUUAAACAUAUACAGUUUAUACUAAAAAAAUAAUCCUCCUCUUUUUUUUUUACUCCUUUCUUACAAACUCUUUGGGGAUUACAUAGUGGGCUCUUUUCCUUUCUGAAAGGUAAAUAAACAUAAACAGUUUGUACUACAAAAAGAAUCAGUAUGAUUGAAUCUGUAUAAAAUUUUUGUCCCUGUAAGCCAUGAAAGCCAUUUGGUUUGCUAACUUCAUCCUUUUGUUCCACCCAUGGAGAGUCUUGAGAGAAGGAAAAUGCCAGCUGAAGAAACUAUUACAGCCCCUGCAAAACAGGCAAGAUCCAGCCCAGUAACCAAUGGGAGCAUCUGAGAAUGUACAGACCUGAUCAAGCUCAAUAAUAUAUGCAUAUGCAAAUCUACAAACAUGCAAGUAUAUAUAUACAUACUUUGUCUAGUAAAAUUUUGUGUCUUUUAUUUUUGGUCAUCUGAGUUGAAAUUGUCUACCUCUUCUUUGUAAUGUUUAUGUUUAGAUACCUGUUGGUGUGCUCAGCAGAACCUAUUGGCUAUUUCUACUCUGCACUGUCUCUCUAUUUUAUUUUCUUUUUCUUUGCUGCAUUUCUCCUAUGGAUGCCU
Macadamia integrifolia is the source of this 6406-nucleotide long non-coding RNA. RefSeq lists it as uncharacterized. The transcript is spliced from 4 exons. NCBI's taxonomy places the organism in Eukaryota, Viridiplantae, Streptophyta, Magnoliopsida, Proteales, Proteaceae. The record is from RefSeq and is a predicted model, not a curated record.